GAUGAACGCUGGCGGCGUGCCUAAUACAUGCAAGUCGAGCGAACAGACGAGGGGCUUGCUCCUCUGACGUUAGCGGCGGACGGGUGAGUAACACGUGGAUAACCUACCUAUAAGACUGGGAUAACUUCGGGAAACCGGAGCUAAUACCGGAUAAUAUAUUGAACCGCAUGGUUCAAUAGUGAAAGACGGUUUUGCUGUCACUUAUAGAUGGAUCCGCGCCGCAUUAGCUAGUUGGUAAGGUAACGGCUUACCAAGGCAACGAUGCGUAGCCGACCUGAGAGGGUGAUCGGCCACACUGGAACUGAGGCACGGUCCAGACUCCACGGGAGGCAGCAGUAGGGAAUCUUCCGCAAUGGGCGAAAGCCUGACGGAGCAACGCCGCGUGAGUGAUGAAGGUCUUCGGAUCGUAAAACUCUGUUAUUAGGGAAGAACAAAUGUGUAAGUAACUAUGCACGUCUUGACGGUACCUAAUCAGAAAGCCACGGCUAACUACGUG
RNAcentral lists this ribosomal RNA (496 nucleotides) under uncultured bacterium. RNAcentral describes it as "partial 16S ribosomal RNA". It matches the Rfam family "Bacterial small subunit ribosomal RNA", at positions 28 to 507 of the family's 1533-position model. The record is from RNAcentral.